CCCUUCGAUGUUCUGGGCCGCACGCGCGCUACACUGACGAAGUCAGCGAGCAUGUCCUACGCCGACAGGUGCGGGGAAUCUUGUCAAACUUCGUCGUGAUGGGGAUUGAUUUUUGAAAUUCUUGAUCAUAAACGAGGAAUUCCUAGUAAGCGCAAGUCAGCAGCUUGCGUUGAUUACGUCCCUGCCCUUUGUACACACCGCCCGUCGCUACUACCGAUUGAAUGGUUUAGUGAGAUCUUCGGAUUGGCGCCACUGCAGCUCAGCAAUGGGCUUGGUGGAUGCCGAAAAGUUGAUCAAACUUGAUCAUUUAGAGGAAGUAAAAGUCGUAACA
This 331-nucleotide ribosomal RNA is filed under the name uncultured eukaryote. RNAcentral describes it as "partial 18S ribosomal RNA". It matches the Rfam family "Eukaryotic small subunit ribosomal RNA", at positions 1470 to 1796 of the family's 1831-position model. The record is from RNAcentral.